This 944-nucleotide ribosomal RNA is filed under the name Staphylococcus aureus M0158. RNAcentral describes it as "bacterial SSU rRNA". It matches the Rfam family "Bacterial small subunit ribosomal RNA", at positions 8 to 933 of the family's 1533-position model. RNAcentral also lists the same sequence under 2 other names. Lineage: Bacteria; Bacillati; Bacillota; Bacilli; Caryophanales; Staphylococcaceae. The record is from RNAcentral.
AGAGUUUGAUCCUGGCUCAGGAUGAACGCUGGCGGCGUGCCUAAUACAUGCAAGUCGAGCGAACGGACGAGAAGCUUGCUUCUCUGAUGUUAGCGGCGGACGGGUGAGUAACACGUGGAUAACCUACCUAUAAGACUGGGAUAACUUCGGGAAACCGGAGCUAAUACCGGAUAAUAUUUUGAACCGCAUGGUUCAAAAGUGAAAGACGGUCUUGCUGUCACUUAUAGAUGGAUCCGCGCUGCAUUAGCUAGUUGGUAAGGUAACGGCUUACCAAGGCAACGAUGCAUAGCCGACCUGAGAGGGUGAUCGGCCACACUGGAACUGAGACACGGUCCAGACUCCUACGGGAGGCAGCAGUAGGGAAUCUUCCGCAAUGGGCGAAAGCCUGACGGAGCAACGCCGCGUGAGUGAUGAAGGUCUUCGGAUCGUAAAACUCUGUUAUUAGGGAAGAACAUAUGUGUAAGUAACUGUGCACAUCUUGACGGUACCUAAUCAGAAAGCCACGGCUAACUACGUGCCAGCAGCCGCGGUAAUACGUAGGUGGCAAGCGUUAUCCGGAAUUAUUGGGCGUAAAGCGCGCGUAGGCGGUUUUUUAAGUCUGAUGUGAAAGCCCACGGCUCAACCGUGGAGGGUCAUUGGAAACUGGAAAACUUGAGUGCAGAAGAGGAAAGUGGAAUUCCAUGUGUAGCGGUGAAAUGCGCAGAGAUAUGGAGGAACACCAGUGGCGAAGGCGACUUUCUGGUCUGUAACUGACGCUGAUGUGCGAAAGCGUGGGGAUCAAACAGGAUUAGAUACCCUGGUAGUCCACGCCGUAAACGAUGAGUGCUAAGUGUUAGGGGGUUUCCGCCCCUUAGUGCUGCAGCUAACGCAUUAAGCACUCCGCCUGGGGAGUACGACCGCAAGGUUGAAACUCAAAGGAAUUGACGGGGACCCGCACAAGCGGU